GGGGAAUCUUCCGCAAUGGGCGAAAGCCUGACGGAGCAACGCCGCGUGAGUGAAGACGGCCUUCGGGUUGUAAAGCUCUGUUAUACGGGACGAAAAGUCUUGUGGUUAAUACCCAUAAGAAGUGACGGUACCGUAAGAGAAAGCCACGGCUAACUACGUGCCAGCAGCCGCGGUAAUACGUAGGUGGCAAGCGUUGUCCGGAAUUAUUGGGCGUAAAGGGCGCGCAGGCGGCUUCUUAAGUCUGUCUUAAAAGUGCGGGGCUUAACCCCGUGAUGGGAUGGAAACUGCCAAUCUAGAGUAUCGGAGAGGAAAGUGGAAUUCCUAGUGUAGCGGUGAAAUGCGUAGAUAUUAGGAAGAACACCAGUGGCGAAGGCGACUUUCUGGACGAAAACUGACGCUGAGGCGCGAAAGCCAGGGGAGCGAACGGGAUUAGAUACCCCGGUAGUCCUGGCCGUAAACGAUGGGUACUAGGUGUAGGAGGUAUCGACCCCUUCUGUGCCGGAGUUAACGCAAUAAGUACCCCGCCUGGGGAGUACGACCGCAAGGUUG
RNAcentral lists this ribosomal RNA (549 nucleotides) under uncultured bacterium. Its description in RNAcentral is "bacterial SSU rRNA". It matches the Rfam family "Bacterial small subunit ribosomal RNA", at positions 356 to 896 of the family's 1533-position model. The record is from RNAcentral.